This 423-nucleotide ribosomal RNA is filed under the name uncultured bacterium. RNAcentral's name for it is "bacterial SSU rRNA". It matches the Rfam family "Bacterial small subunit ribosomal RNA", at positions 92 to 510 of the family's 1533-position model. The record is from RNAcentral.
CGAGUGGCGAACGGGUGAGUAAUGCAUCGGAACGUGCCCAUGUCGUGGGGGAUAACGUANCGAAAGCUACGCUAAUACCGCAUACGUCCUGAGGGAGAAAGCGGGGGAUCUUCGGACCUCGCGCGAUUGGAGCGGCCGAUGUCGGAUUAGCUAGUUGGUGGGGUAAAGGCCCACCAAGGCGACGAUCCGUAGCGGGUCUGAGAGGAUGAUCCGCCACACUGGGACUGAGACACGGCCCAGACUCCUACGGGAGGCAGCAGUGGGGAAUUUUGGACAAUGGGCGCAAGCCUGAUCCACCCAUGCCGCGUGAGUGAAGAAGGCCUUCGGGUUGUAAAGCUCUUUCGGCCGGGAAGAAAUCGUGUUCUCUAACAUAGGACAUGGAUGACGGUACCGGACUAAGAAGCACCGGCUAACUACGUGCCA